CUCUUAACUACUGCCUUUUCUUGCUACAUACUACUUCAGCUGUUCUCUCUUCACCAGGUUUCCAUUUGUGAUAUGUUUGAAAACUGUUUGCACAUAACACAUUCUCUGUUCAGUGCUGAGCUCCCUGGAGUUGCUGUUACUUUAGUGGGGGAUACAGAUGAGGCUGGUGAGGGACUAGAUAAUGGCUCUUUGUCACUGUGAGUAAUUCUCUAGGCUUGCAGUCUCAGGUUUCUAGUGGGUUAUUGUUUCAUUCUCACCUUCUUGGGGAAUAGCCAGCUUACAUUAUUUCACUGAACAUUUGUCACCCUGAAACUUUUCCUAUAAAACAAAGAUAAUUUUUUAACAUAGUAAAAUUGUUUCACCUGUAGUCCUUCUCUUCAGUUAUGAUUUUCAUCAACAAGGUUUCCUUAUUUAAAUACACCAAAGUUGAAACACCUGUAGCUCUUAGAUACUAAUUGAAAACAGAAUUAUCUGGAAACUGAUCAUGAAGACUGGGAAACUGUUCAGGGUUCAUAAAGCCUAUUCAGAAGUAAGAGAAUUAUGUAAGUUUGAUUUGGAAACCACGGUAUUAGAAUAUCCCCAGCCUGCAACAUGAAAGGAAAUGGAAUGUUUUCAGCAUGACUUUCCUCUCCACAUCCUUCUGGGUAGGAUUUCAAAAGACCUCCCAAAUAUCCAACUCAGUUCUCAUCCACACAAGAGUUGACUUAUAUCAGCCUUGGAGAUCUUGAUUUAGGGCACACAGAGAGAAGACUUUUCCUUGUCCCAGGUCCCCUGUAGGGUCUCCUGUCUUGCUACUAUGUCCCAGGCUGGACAUUUUAGGUAACUUUUUUAUUCUUGCUUUUUUUCCCCCUCCCCUUUCCAUAUCUUCAGUUGGCUGCUAUGGCCUACAUUGUUUCUGAAGUCUUUUUGUAUUCCUUUUUGUAUCCACAAUUUCUGUUUCUUUCUUCCUUCAGAGUGGAAAGUACAAAAUGUUGCCACAUUCCCAGGGAACUAAUGUGUAGAAUUUUAACAUUUAAAUCACUCGCCUCCUUGCUUUCCAGUAAUGCAUUGUGUAUUUGUACUUCUCUAGUUGUAGUUUUCUUAGUGGCAUUUGGCAUAAAGAAACAUGAUUUCACUUAAUGAGCUACAUUGAAUAUAGGGUUGUAGUGUGAUGGUGGUGGCAGAACUGUGUAGAGGACAGGGAGCUUCACUGAGAAGCAGAAUUAUGGUGCUAGUUCACGGCUUGCUUUCCCAAAGCAACCUCAUAACUCUAUGCCCUAGAAAAGUUAGAAAUGAGAACAGGUGGCGAUCACUUGGGAAAAGCUGAAAUGGUGAAUAUGUUAUCUGUGAUUGCUAAGGGGCUGUGGUGUUUCCGGCCUGUAGUUUUUCUCAUUCUCAUUUGAUUCAUUUCACAAAAAUCUGCUAGAUUAAUUUUUGCCCAAAUACCAUUUUUGCAUUCUUUAUGUUUACAAAUUCACAAUGACUCACCUUUAUUUUAGAAAUCAAAGAACUAUUGAAGCUGCUUUCCAGCCUCCCACAGUCUGGCCCAUUCCCACCUUUCUUCUGUUCUCCUUUAUGAACAUUUCAUGUCUGGCCAGAUUCAAUUGAUGUUUGUCCCUAGACUAUGUAUUUUCUUGCUGCUAUACCUCUGCGUUUCCUUUAAAAUACCUUCAUAUCUGACCCUCUUUGUGUUUGUUUGUUCAAGGCCUUUGGGCUUGGCCUGUGGCCCUGGAAGGUUGUAAAGAACCAUAAGAGUGGAAAUGUGGGAGCUCUUCGUGUAAUUAAAAAAAAAAUCCAAAAGACUUAUAUAAGCCAAUGUCAUUGCUUCCAUUAUCAAUGCUUAUUGACACAAAAAGGCAAUUGAAUUAGGAUCCAGAGAUUGAACACACACUGAAAAGAACCAUUCAAGCCAUUCCAGAAUUGCUUAUCUUUGAUACUUUUGUACUUUAGCAAAGCAAGUUUCUUAUUUUAAUAUGAAAGCCGUGGUUGAAUCAUAGAGCAUAUUGGAGAAUCGCAUUUUCCAGCUGUGAAACUUCACUCUGACCUCAGAGUAGGAACCAGUUCUUUGACUGAAAUGUGGUUUCUAUAACUGUAAAUGGAUAUAAUAAUGCAGCCUACCUCUGUGACAUGUUGAGUGCCUCUGACUGUAAGAAUAAUACUCAGCCCAUGAUAAGAGCUCCCAAAAGUAUUAUCUAGGUCUUUAGUAUAGUAAUAUUUGUAAUAUUAUGGAUAUGUUCUGAUGAAUUUGAUACUUUUCUUCCUCUCAGCAUCUACUAACUACAUUUAGUUCUGUGUCAAACGGUGUUUCCUGCUUUGAAAGUAAAGUCUAUUUCAAGCUAAAAUU
Long non-coding RNA from Perognathus longimembris pacificus (Pacific pocket mouse), 2323 nucleotides. RefSeq lists it as uncharacterized. NCBI's taxonomy places the organism in Eukaryota, Metazoa, Chordata, Mammalia, Rodentia, Heteromyidae. The transcript is spliced from 2 exons. The record is from RefSeq and is a predicted model, not a curated record.